GACGAGGUGGCCGAGCGGUUAAGGCGCCAGCUUAAGGUGCAUGCAUGCUCGUUGAGCGUCCAUGAUUUAAGCGCUGGUCCGAAAGGGCGCGGGUUCGAAUCCCGUCCUCGUCA
RNAcentral lists this transfer RNA (113 nucleotides) under Friedmanniomyces endolithicus. It matches the Rfam family "tRNA". From Rfam's summary of the family: Transfer RNA (tRNA) molecules are approximately 80 nucleotides in length. Their secondary structure includes four short double-helical elements and three loops (D, anti-codon, and T loops). The record is from Rfam by way of RNAcentral. Lineage: Eukaryota; Fungi; Ascomycota; Dothideomycetes; Mycosphaerellales; Teratosphaeriaceae.